This is a long non-coding RNA of Pogonomyrmex barbatus (red harvester ant), 809 nucleotides long. RefSeq lists it as uncharacterized. The record is from RefSeq and is a predicted model, not a curated record. NCBI's taxonomy places the organism in Eukaryota, Metazoa, Arthropoda, Insecta, Hymenoptera, Formicidae.
GGUCGAAUUGACUGCUGUAGUGAGCGUUUUUUUGUUUAAAACUGAACAUUUUGUUACAAAAACUUAAAAAAUGCAGUGUCUACACUGUAACGAUGUUGUACGCUUGAGGAUGUGUCACAACAUCAAUGUUUUGUUGUAUAAGAAAAAUUUAAUGAAUCAAAUGAUUCAUUUGCAGAAAAGAAAUUGUUAUUUGGGACCAAAAUGCUACGUUAGCCCUUUUUAGUUUAUACGAAAAUAAAAUAGAAAUGUUGGACUAUUCAAAAAAAAAGGCAAAAUAUGGGAAGCUAGAUCUAGCGCUUUGCAAGAUUUUGGUAUUCAGGUAUAAAAUGAACAUAAAAGUUUAAUAAAUUCAAUAUUUUAUAUAUAAUUAUAUAAUGUCUGUGUAUAUAAUCGCAUUUGUUUAUAAUAUUGCCUUGCUUUUCGAAAAGGAAAUUUGUGAAGGGGAUGUUAACUCGAAAGUCAAAUGAAAUAAUUCCAAAUUUGUUUUUUAUAUUAACUGUGCUUGUAAUGACGUUAAUAUUUUAUUAUAAAAAAUGACAUUAAUACUUUAUUAUAAAAAUUAUUUAUAAAAAUGUACAAAUAGUUUCUAAGUAUAUUAAUCCUACAGGAAAUACAAAAACUUUAAAGUUACAAUAUUUAAUAGCAUACAUUUAUGACAGUGUAGUUUUUAACGUUUAUAAUUAUUAUAUAAAUAACCGACAUUUCGAUAUUUCAAAAACAUGUUUAUAAUAUUCAAAAGAAUCAUAUUAUCUGGUAAUAUCUUCGAUAUUUUGUAAAAAUAUAUAAUAAAAAUGCGCAUCACAUCAAUA